GGGGAAUUUUGGACAAUGGGCGCAAGCCUGAUCCAGCAAUGCCGCGUGCAGGAUGAAGGCCUUCGGGUUGUAAACUGCUUUUGUACGGAACGAAAAGCUCUUCUCUAAUACAGAGGGGUCAUGACGGUACUGUAAGAAUAAGCACCGGCUAACUACGUGCCAGCAGCCGCAGUAAUACGUAGGGUGCGAGCGUUAAUCGGAAUUACUGGGCGUAAAGCGUGCGCAGGCGGUUUUGUAAGACAGAGGUGAAAUCCCCGGGCUCAACCUGGGAACUGCCUUUGUGACUGCAAGGCUAGAGUACGGCAGAGGGGGAUGGAAUUCCGCGUGUAGCAGUGAAAUGCGUAGAUAUGCGGAGGAACACCGAUGGCGAAGGCAAUCCCCUGGGCCUGCACUGACGCUCAUGCACGAAAGCGUGGGGAGCAAAC
Molecule: ribosomal RNA, 425 nt
Filed under: uncultured bacterium
Lineage: Bacteria
Description: bacterial SSU rRNA
Rfam family: Bacterial small subunit ribosomal RNA
Source: RNAcentral